AAGUCGUAACAAGGUUUCCGUAGGUGAACCUGCGGAAGGAUCAUUAACACGUAUCCAACGUUAAACCCCCCUGUGAACCUUCAGAAGUCCGUUCUCGUAACACCAGUGCGCCUCAGCAAUCCCGGUAAAUCAUUGUCGACCAGUAUUGAUUCGGGACCUCUGACAAAUGCCUUACGAUCGAGCUGUACAGUGACAUGGCUUCCAGUGAAUGAAAGUGUCACCGGAUAACGCCUCACGAUUGCUGGGUCGACCACCGGUUAUAGUUCGGGCUUGCUAAAUACACGCCCCAAAAAACGAACAACUGUUAACAAUGGAUAUCUUGGUUCUC
This 328-nucleotide unclassified non-coding RNA is filed under the name fungal sp. Its description in RNAcentral is "partial internal transcribed spacer region". The stretch from base 1 to 46 matches the Rfam family "Eukaryotic small subunit ribosomal RNA", at positions 1786 to 1831 of the family's 1831-position model. The record is from RNAcentral. Lineage: Eukaryota; Fungi.